CAGGACGAACGCUGGCGGCGUGCCUAACACAUGCAAGUCGAGCGGAGUCAGUAAGAGGAAGUUUCGGAUGGAAUCUUAUUGAUUUAGCGGCGGACGGGUGAGUAACGCGUGAGCGACCAACCUUGCACAGGGGGAUAACGGACCGAAAGGUUCACUAAUACCGCAUGAGACCACGGUGUUGCAUGACACAGGGGUCAAAGGAGUAAUCCGGUGCAAGACGGGCUCGCGUCCGAUUAGGUAGUUGGAGGGGUAACGGCCCCACCAAGCCUAUGAUCGGUAGCCGACCUGAGAGGGUGAUCGGCCACAUUGGAACUGAGAUACGGUCCAAGCUCCUACGGGAGGCAGCAGUGGGGAAUAUUGGGCAAUGGGGGGAAAAACCCCUGACCCAGCAACGCCGCGUGAAGGAAGAAGGUUUUCGGAUUGUAAACUUCUGUCCUUGGUGAAGAGAAGAAGACGGUAGCCAAGGAGGAAGCCCCGGCUAACUACGUGCCAGCAGCCGC
Molecule: ribosomal RNA, 500 nt
Filed under: uncultured bacterium
Lineage: Bacteria
Description: bacterial SSU rRNA
Rfam family: Bacterial small subunit ribosomal RNA
Source: RNAcentral